GCUUUUUGCCUCUGCUCCCCUUCAGAGAAGGUUGUGUCCCUGCUGCUCUUUACUUUCUCCCUCAAUAAACCUCUCUGGAUCAAGCAAGCAAGAAGCCCUCCUGCUCUUCAUUCUGUGGGUUUUCUGAUAGUCCCUUGCACAUCUUUUUCUGAAUGAGGCCAGUGUUUGCAGAAGGAACCUGGGGAAGAACUGUUUCUGCAGUGGUUUGGUCCUCUCUGGAGGAAAAAGAAAAGAUUUACUUCCUCCUGCAGUGGCACAGGGAAACAGAGAAUGGGGGUCACACUUUGUUUCUGCUGCUGCUCAGGGAGAGAAGUCCUUCGCCUGUUCCAGCAUGGGGUCUCCAUGAAGUUCUCCAUGGACUCCUCAAAUCCCUUUGACAAUAAAAUUUGUGUUUAUUUAGAGAAGAAUAAAAACAUCACGGCAAAUCCAAGCUACUUUAUUCCCAGAUACUGCAAUCACGACCUUGGAGUUACUUACCCACCAAGGAGGAAGGACUGGCCAGGAGCUUGUCUUAACUCAUCUGAUGUGCCAGGGUGAAUCUGGAAGAUACAAUUGAUACUAAGCAAGAGGAUAAGAAGGAGGGUCUGAGACAGUCAUUGCUGGUCACUGAAAAAUAGUGUCUUAUUUGGAUAUCCUGCAAAACAUAAAAUAUUUUUAAAUAGAAUCUAAGAGUCAGCAAGGCUGAUAACUAAAAUUACAAUCAGGUACAAAUUAUUCUUGUUUUGUUUUUGUCAGUGGCUGUGAUUUUAACUGCAGUGAUCUGUUACCUCGUUUAUACUGUUCUUUGUCUCAUUGUAAUUUUGGCUAAAUUAAUGGGAGAAAGAGAGAAUCUUUGACUUCUCUUUUUGGGCCUGUAUGCUGAAAGAAGGAUAAGAUUGCAAUUUUAGUAAUGCAAUUUUUUUUAUUUUCAAAGCUCUUGUUGGACAUAGGAAGGUGUCUUUUCCGUAAGGGCUUAAUAACUCAUCUAGCUAAAAUAUUCAUUCCACUCAUAUUCACCCAAUUUCUCUGAUAUUUUUAAUCCUAUGGGUAGCUCCUUAACAAAAGUUCUACAAGUGAGUCUGAAACAAAUACCUUUCCUGAUAUUAAUAUAUAUGCCUUCAAGGCCCUUAGGAGUUAUUUACAUCAACCAAUGAUAGGGGCUUCUCUGUAUAGCCUGAAAAAAAACCAGAAAAAAAACCAAAUACCCCGUGCAGGAUUUAGCCUCUUUUACAUCUCACCACCUGGCUUACAAGGUUGUAUAUCUUUCAGCUGAAUCAUUUAUGACAAGAGAAGCUGUUAAAGUUUCUUUUGCAGAUUGUUUAGAUGUGGCUGCCAAUGAAAAGACAUUAAUAAGUUAGCUAUUGCAGCUGUGCUUGGAUGGACCCAAGGCACUUUCAAUUUUGCUAUUAUUCAAAAAAUCUGGCAAUUCAUUUUUUUUUCCCUGUAUGUGCUCUCGAGCUGGGCUCUUCAGGUUUGUCUGGUUCCAGAGCUGGUUUGGAUUUCCAUUUGUUUAGAGACAGCCUUUUGAGGAGGGUGCUGGGGGGCUGUUUGUGCGGAGUGUUGAGUGACAGGCUCGUCACACGUCAGGCUGCAGCAGGGCAGGGGCUCUGGUGACAGCAAGGCUUCGCCAGCCAGAUCUGCACUACCCAACUACCCAGACAGGGCUCAACGAACUCCUUUGCUGCUUUUCUGCUGUAAUUCUUAGGGUUUCCUGUCUUGCCCAGCUGACGAGGCAGAAUAGAGCUAUUUAUGUGUGUGUGUGUGUGAUGAAGAGCACAGUCUAAGCGUAUUCAUUAGGUCACAUUUCAGUGACAGAAAGCUAAGGUAAACUCUGCUGAAAUCAGUGUAAAGUUUAACAACUUUUUGCAAGUUACCUAAGCAGCAAUUCCAUAAUUUUUUUUUUGGUGUCUAAGUACUGCUUUGAAUGUCCUGCUAUAGAAUGCAGAGGUCCCUUGAAGUAAAAAGUUGUCACUGAUCAGCAUUACUAUAUCAUGAAUGUUUGUGAGAGCUUUUGUGGUUUUUGCCAGAAUGAAUAUUUAGUAAGAGAUACAUUACUCACCUGUAUCUGGUAAUACAUCUGGAUAAAGGUAACAGAAAAAUAUGAGAAAUAUGUCAGCAUGAUUUAUCUGCAGAAAAAGCGCAGUGAAGCUUUUCAAUGCAUGCACCAGGAGCUUCUCUAGAGAGGAUGUACUGCUUAUUCAUAAUCAUUUGACUAGAGAAAUGCAAGACACCCUUUACAUCCUUUUCCCUGGCAGGGUUGUUUCCUACUGGUUAUAUUCCUGUACUCUGUUUAAUUCUGCCACCUUGAUGACUCCUGGAAAAGGCAUUGCAGUACCAAGCAAACACAGCAGCUCCUGUUAGCACAAUUUCCAGUAGUCAGUAUGAGAUAAUAUUUUCUGACCAACCUAAUUUUGCCAAGUAAAACAAGUUUUUAAUAUCUUCCUUAUUGUUCUGCAUUUCUCCCUUCUCCUAACUGCUCCACUUCUAUUAUCACUAUCGAAAUGAAAAGGAAAUUAUGGAAUAGAAAGAAAAAAACCCAAAAUUUUAGAAUCAUCCAGCCAUCACAGAAAAAGACAUAGCUCCUACAAGUUUACAAAAACCUCCCCGUAAUUUUUAAGCUAUGAGGAAUUAAAUUUACAGUCUAAUAAAUGCACACAGCAAUCACAAAGUUUGAGCAUCAGUACAUGCGCUGUAGAAGUUAAUGAUUUGCUUAAAAAUUGUACUGGUAAUGACCUGAUAUCAGCUUUUUGAGUAAUUCAGUUUCAGAAGGAUGUAGGGGUUUUUAACUGCAAAACUCAGACUUAAUUAUUAGAUGUGAUUUACAUCCCAGCACAGGCUGUGAGAAAUGUUUAUUAUGAAACUUGUAGCCGUAAAAUUUUAAUUAUACACUGAAAAAAAAUCAGGUUAAGCGCAAGCAAACAUUUAAAAAGAUUCACUGGUUUCUUUGUAUCUGGUCCCAUUUUAAGAUGAACCACUGAAACAUUUGCAUCUUGCUAUCAAAUCAAAUCACUGAGACAGUACAAUGCUGAUGUGCAGGGGACAGGUCAUGGAACUCAGACUCAGGCUGAAGUGGGGUGUGCUCAGUUUGGCUCCUGGCAAAUGAUGCCAAGGGAUCUGGUCAUCACUCACAGGGAUUCUCCCUGGCAAGGGCCACUGUGGAGAAAAGAGAAAGGAAUCUUGCGUGAUUCAAUGUGAAUCAAGUAAAAUGUGCUUAUUGUGUCUCUAAACAUUGUGUUUUAUUUCUUAUCCUGGUCUACACAGUCACACAUUAUUUGAUUGGUUGCUCCAUUUUUUAAUGUAUUUCUUGAUUGGUACCUCUAUUUUGUCUAUGAGGCAAAAAUCUUUUCCUUAAUCUAAAUGGUAGAUGCUGUAAAUGUCAUUUCACUGGGGUUGGCACCCCUUUGUUUGUCACUAACUUUUCUGCUUCUUUCUUCUUGCAACAUCAUCUUUAUGUCUAUAAAGAUGAAUGUAGCUUUAUUAUAAAGAUGACUCAGUUCUUGAGUUCUAGAAGGUGAAGUUGUUUCAUUCAGUACAUGUUCAUUUUCCUGUAAAUAUAACCCUACAGGCCACUGAGAGCAGUUGCCAAUUCUUAUUGCACUGCAGUAAGCACUGUUGCACUGUACAGCACUGUUGAUGUACCUACCAACAAUCCUUCCUGGGAUUUUACCAGCUGAAUGUUCCAGGCAUACCCCUGAUGUUUCCCAAAUCUGCUUUCAGAGGUUGAUAAAUAUAUCUGGAGAGUUUUCUUUACUUGGAUAUGCUUUUUACUUGAUGGAAUUUUUGGUUUUUUGAUGCCUCCUUUACGUUAGCCUAAAUAGUGCAAUUUUUCUUUUAAAGAACUCUGAGCACUGUAUUUGAUAUUUUUAUCAUUAUUUUCAAGGGGAAUGUUAAAAUAAGACAGGAAAAAACAGAAAUAUCCUCUUCCACCUCAGAAAUAAAAGCAAUAAAUGUCUAUGGCCUGCUAAUACUCUGAUAACAAAGAUUAAGUCUUUUUAAUAUUGACUUCAUCUGUGGUUAUACCACAUUUGACACAAUUAUCUUGACAAAUUACUAUUAAAUAGAAAAGUUUUCUGUACAGAUGUUUCUUUGCUGGCUUGUCUGUUAGCCUGGCUUUUAUUUAUCUAUGCUGUUCAUCUUUGUGAUGCAUUUCAAAAGAGCUAAAUUGAAUAUUUUUGCUCAACUAGACUAGGUUCUAGGAAGUGUUAUCCUAUGGCUACCUGUCCUCAGUGUGUGUCAGGUGAUACAAAUCACCACAGUAUGCCCUCCAUUAAUUUGAAACAUUUGCCCUGAUGUCUCCUGGAAAGACUUGGUGCAUCAGAAAAUUAAUGUAUAAAGAUUGUACCUGUUGAAAAGCUUUUUGUUCUUCACUUAGAAGUCUUUAUAGGUCAAAAGAAAAUAGAUUUAAAUGCUCCCUACUCAACUGUAGUACUUAAAGUGCUAGUCAACCCCUGGUGGGUGCCUUUUACACCCUCCUGAGUGCUUUUCUUAAAUUGAUCUGGUACUGGCUCUUCUUGGAAUUUUUUCAUGUCAUUGUAGUUGGCAGUAGCAGACUGAAAUCAUUGAUGGUGUUUUGUGGCUAAAAUUACCUGCAAAAAACUGUUCAGAAAGGAUUAUUUUUACAGAAAGUAAAAUUGGGUUGAAUGUAGUUUUCUGAUGAGGUUCACAAGGUUUGAUUUCUGAAUGCAAUUAUUUGAUAAGACACAUGAGAGAAUAGGCAAAUAUCUAAAAAUAAGUUCAAAGAAGUAAAGAAGCAGAAGAAAGUAUGAAAUAUUAACUGAUAUUUUUACACAAAUGGAAUGAAAAAUAUUAAUCAACACAGAGCAUCUCAAAUAAAUACUCAAAAAUGUUUGCAAGGAGAAAAUUUGUCACAAGAAUCAGACAGAUGAUAUGAAAAAUUCCUGUUUGUUUUUAUUCAAAGCCACCAUUUGCAGAAUCAUCUAAUUACUUAGAAGCAACUGCAGCACAGCACAUUUACACAUUAUUUUUCUCCAUCUUCUUUUUUGCCAAAAAACAUAAAAUCCUCCAGCUAUACUUACAUUUCUUUUCUUUUGCCUUGUUGAUUACAUACUCCAAACAAAGAUCAGAGUUUCUUUGUGUUAGGUUUAUACAGACAUAAAAAAAUAUGAAUGUAAUGUCUCUCCAAAGAUAUUGUAAUUUUAUCACAUAAUGAGAACAAGAGUAAAAGAAAAUUUUGGAGACAGAUAAUUUUUGGGAGUCUCACUGGGAACCCUGGAGUAAAUAUAGAAGUUGUAGAAGAUAAACUAGGAGUAAGAACUAGGCACCUAUUCUUAUGUGAAAGUACUUGAAAUAGUAAUGGCAACAAUAGGAGCCAUCUAAACCAUAUCUAAUUUAUUUAUGUGAGUAUAUUUUUAUUCACCAUAGACUGUAUUGAAUAAUAGACUGAGAAUUAUACUGUAUAGAUAAAAAUCCUGGUCCUAGUACAGCAUCUGAAUCAUUGUUGAUGGUCUUAAAGAUGAAUGUCGCAAAAAGGAACAGAAGAAUUUGAGGGCAUACAAUUAUAACUGAAAGGAAAAAAGAAAAAAAAAAGAGUAGAUUGGUUUUGGAGUCCCAACUUGAGAUUUGCUGCUGCCAAAUCAUAGAAGGAGACAUGUUUUUCACUUGUAAACUGAGCAAAUUUGAGCUGUAAGUGCAUAGGAGACACAUAUAAACCCAUGAUGAUUUUUGAAAGUGCAUAGCUUUGCUUUAAUGGGAAAUAGUUGAUAUAGCUGGGAAAAAAUAUCCUCAGCAGUAUUUCAAAUGUAGGACUGAGAAAGAGUGCUCUCAUGGUAAGAGUUACUGCUCUUUGUUUUCUUCUUCUGUUCAUUCUAAUAUUCUGGAGUUUGACUAAAUUUAUGUGUAUGUUCAUGUUCAUACAUACACAUAUAUAUCAUAAUAAAUGCAUGUCAAAUUUUAUUAUCCUUUAAAAGAAAAGCAGAGCAGGAAUGCCACAUUAUGAUGGCUUUGUUAAGAGACAGGAUAUUUCAGUUCCAAGUCCUUAAUUAACCUUGUGUUCUUAGGCAGUACUUAUUUGUGAAUUGAUGACAGUCCUACUCAACACAGAGCCAAGACUUCUUUCCUUCCUGGAACUGGUGUGAUGAGAGAAUCCAGGUCACUGUGACACAGCAGGGCCAGUCCUGGGUAUGCUUUGAACCUGGCACUUCACUCCUAACUGGCCCUCACUGUCCAAGGUCAGGAUUCCUGACAGUGCCGGACAAAGCAGAACAUUCCUUCCACCUUUUCUUUAUCAUCUUUUAAAACAUUUUUUUUUUUUUGCAGACUGCUUUGGACCAUCUCUUCCAGCACAGGGGGAACAUAACUUCUUGCCCAGAUCCUGUACAGACUUUACCAUAGCAGAAUUGUCACUCCUUAUUGCAGUCAUUUCCCUACAGCCCAAACAAGAAGCAGCAAAAUUAAUUUGGUUUUACCCCUGUUGCCCACCUCAGAGGAAAAAUUGAGAAGAUAAAUCUUUUAGGAUGAGUAAGAAGUGCAUAGGCUAAAAAAGGAACUGUGAGUUUUUCCAGGUGCUUAUUUCUGUGCACAGUUGCAGAAUGUUUGUUUAAAGUAUAAAUUUUUU
Motacilla alba alba is the source of this 6553-nucleotide long non-coding RNA. RefSeq lists it as uncharacterized. The transcript is spliced from 4 exons. The record is from RefSeq and is a predicted model, not a curated record. NCBI's taxonomy places the organism in Eukaryota, Metazoa, Chordata, Aves, Passeriformes, Motacillidae.